UACGUAGGGUGCGAGCGUUAAUCGGAAUUACUGGGCGUAAAGCGUGCGCAGGCGGUUGGUUAAGUCUGAUGUGAAAGCCCCGAGCUCAACUUGGGAAUGGCAUUGGAAACUGGCUGGCUAGAGUGUGGCAGAGGGGGGUGGAAUUCCGCGUGUAGCAGUGAAAUGCGUAGAGAUGCGGAGGAACACCGAUGGCGAAGGCAGCCCCCUGGGCUGACACUGACGCUCAGGCACGAAAGCUGGGGGAGCAAACAGG
RNAcentral lists this ribosomal RNA (253 nucleotides) under uncultured bacterium. Its description in RNAcentral is "partial 16S ribosomal RNA". It matches the Rfam family "Bacterial small subunit ribosomal RNA", at positions 524 to 776 of the family's 1533-position model. The record is from RNAcentral.